CUGGGGUGCCUUUGGCUGAGAUGAUACCCAUUAACCUGAUCUGGUUAGUACCAGCGUAGGGAGUUACAU
This 69-nucleotide non-coding RNA is filed under the name Limosilactobacillus ingluviei. Lineage: Bacteria; Bacillati; Bacillota; Bacilli; Lactobacillales; Lactobacillaceae. The record is from RNAcentral.